Molecule: ribosomal RNA, 301 nt
Filed under: uncultured bacterium
Lineage: Bacteria
Description: partial 16S ribosomal RNA
Rfam family: Bacterial small subunit ribosomal RNA
Source: RNAcentral
CAGUCGCCGCGGUAAUACAGAGGGUGCGAGCGUUAAUCGGAUUUACUGGGCGUAAAGCGUGCGUAGGCGGCUUCUUAAGUAGGAUGUGAAAUCCCUGAGCUUAACUUAGGAAUUGCAUUCGAUACUGGGAAGCUAGAGUAUGGGAGAGGAUGGUAGAAUUCCAGGUGUAGCGGUGAAAUGCGUAGAGAUCUGGAGGAAUACCGAUGGCGAAGGCAGCCAUCUGGCCUAAUACUGACGCUGAGGUACGAAAGCAUGGGGAGCAAACAGGAUUAGAUACCCGCGUAGUCCCUGUCUCUUAUAC